CGUGAAGCUCAGGAUGGGAUAGGCCAAAGCAGACAAUUCCUCUAGUGGUUGAAAGCAGGGCGUUACAAAUGGUAUCAGAGCUGGUUCGGGGAUGAACCAGUUGAAAGCUAGUGGGCUUGUAACAUCCCAUGCGGCAAGAGAAAAUAAUAUGCUACUGGAGGCGGGGUCUCGCUUGAGACCUUAACUAAAUGGGAGGCAGGAAUAAACUAAAUCAUAUAUUGAAAUGGGAAAAUCAAUCACUAGAGGCGCAUUUUGGUGGAAUGGCCUGG
RNAcentral lists this unclassified non-coding RNA (269 nucleotides) under Hevea brasiliensis (rubber tree). The record is from RNAcentral. Lineage: Eukaryota; Viridiplantae; Streptophyta; Magnoliopsida; Malpighiales; Euphorbiaceae.